This 481-nucleotide ribosomal RNA is filed under the name uncultured bacterium. RNAcentral describes it as "bacterial SSU rRNA". It matches the Rfam family "Bacterial small subunit ribosomal RNA", at positions 28 to 526 of the family's 1533-position model. The record is from RNAcentral.
GACGAACGCUGGCGGCGUGCCUAACACAUGCAAGUCGAGCGAGGGGAGUUCUUCGGAACAAACCUAGCGGCGGACGGGUGAGUAACACGUGGGCAACCUGCCUCAUAGAGGGGAAUAGCCUUCCGAAAGGAAGAUUAAUACCCCAUAAGAUUGUAGUUUCGCAUGAAGCAGCAAUUAAAGGAGCAAUCCGCUAUGAGAUGGGCCCGCGGCGCAUUAGCUAGUUGGUGAGGUAACGGCUCACCAAGGCGACGAUGCGUAGCCGACCUGAGAGGGUGAUCGGCCACAUUGGGACUGAGACACGGCCCAGACUCCUACGGGAGGCAGCAGUGGGGAAUAUUGCACAAUGGGGGAAACCCUGAUGCAGCAACGCCGCGUGAGUGAUGAAGGCCUUCGGGUUGUAAAGCUCUGUCUUCAGGGACGAUAAUGACGGUACCUGAGGAGGAAGCCACGGCUAACUACGUGCCAGCCGCCGCCGUAACAC